UAUCAGCCUGAAGGCGCCCGAUCUCGUCUGAUCUCGGAACUAAGCAGGGUCGGCCUGGUUAGGAUCUUGGAUGGGAGACCACCGUGGGAAUCCCGGG
Molecule: ribosomal RNA, 97 nt
Filed under: Bison bison bison
Lineage: Eukaryota; Metazoa; Chordata; Mammalia; Artiodactyla; Bovidae
Source: RNAcentral